Molecule: long non-coding RNA, 289 nt
Organism: Melopsittacus undulatus (budgerigar)
Lineage: Eukaryota; Metazoa; Chordata; Aves; Psittaciformes; Psittaculidae
Exons: 3
Source: RefSeq, a predicted model, not a curated record
GAAUGACUGGAUGGUGCAGACUUUGGAUCCAUGAUUACGGUGUUCUGGGAGAGAAGCAACAUUUAAAGAAGGUAAACUGGAAUUAAGAAUUGUAUGAUCCAGAGUAGGAGCCACUGCAGGAAGGACCUGAUCUUGACUUGGAGCAGCUUGGUUUGGGUUUUCUUCUCUUUCAGCUGCCAACAUAAUGCUGCUGCAAACUGAAGAGAUAACAUAGUUCAAUCAUUUGCUGCCCGAACAUGGACCCUGUGCUGUGCUUCCUGCUGAUCCGGGGAGUCUCUGGGACCUUCAC